This 320-nucleotide unclassified non-coding RNA is filed under the name plant metagenome. Its description in RNAcentral is "partial contains 5.8S ribosomal RNA, internal transcribed spacer 2, and large subunit ribosomal RNA". The stretch from base 1 to 105 matches the Rfam family "5.8S ribosomal RNA", at positions 50 to 154 of the family's 154-position model. The record is from RNAcentral.
GAAAUGCGAUAAGUAAUGUGAAUUGCAGAAUUCAGUGAAUCAUCGAAUCUUUGAACGCACAUUGCGCCCGCCAGUAUUCUGGCGGGCAUGCCUGUUCGAGCGUCAUUACAACCCUCAGGCCCCCGGGCCUGGCGUUGGGGAUCGGCGGAAGCCCCCUGCGGGCACAACGCCGUCCCCCAAAUACAGUGGCGGUCCCGCCGCAGCUUCCAUUGCGUAGUAGCUAACACCUCGCAACUGGAGAGCGGCGCGGCCACGCCGUAAAACACCCAACUUCUUAAUGUUGACCUCGAAUCAGGUAGGAAUACCCGCUGAACUUAAGC